Molecule: ribosomal RNA, 564 nt
Filed under: uncultured bacterium
Lineage: Bacteria
Description: bacterial SSU rRNA
Rfam family: Bacterial small subunit ribosomal RNA
Source: RNAcentral
CCUACGGGAGGCAGCAGUGGGGAAUCUUGCACAAUGGAGGAAACUCUGAUGCAGCGAUGCCGCGUGAGUGAAGAAGGCCUUUGGGUUGUAAAGCUCUUUCGUCGGGGAAGAAAAUGACUGUACCCGAAUAAGAAGGUCCGGCUAACUACGUGCCAGCAGCCGCGGUAAUACGUAGGGUGCGAGCGUUGUUCGGAAUUACUGGGCGUAAAGGGCGUGCAGGCGGAUUGGCAAGCCGGAGGUGAAAGCCCGGGGCUCAACCCCGGAGGGUCUUUCGGAACUGCCAGUCUUGAGAGGGUCAGGGGCCAGCGGAAUUCCUGGUGUAGAGGUGAAAUUCGUAGAGAUCAGGAGGAACACCGGCGGCGAAAGCGGCUGGCUGGGGCCACUCUGACGCUGAGGCGCGAAAGCGUGGGGAGCAAACAGGAUUAGAUACCCUGGUAGUCCACGCCGUAAACGAUGGGCACUAAGCGUCCGACGGGUUCGACCCUGUUGGGUGCUGCAGUUAACGCGUUAAGUGCCCCGCCUGGGGAGUACAGUCGCAAGACUAAAACUCAAAGGAAUUGACGG